Non-coding RNA from Bradyrhizobium sp. LTSP849, 45 nucleotides. NCBI's taxonomy places the organism in Bacteria, Pseudomonadati, Pseudomonadota, Alphaproteobacteria, Hyphomicrobiales, Nitrobacteraceae. The record is from Rfam.
UGGGGACAAAGCAGACUCCCCGUGAGACCUCGGUCCAAGCUCUGC